UACGGAGGAUGCAAGCGUUAUCCGGAUUUAUUGGGUUUAAAGGGUGCGUAGGCGGAUAUGUAAGUCAGCGGUGAAACUCACAGGCUCAACCUGUGCCGUGCCGUUGAAACUGUGUAUCUGGAAUGCGGAUGCUGUGGGAGGAAUGUGUAGUGUAGCGGUGAAAUGCAUAGAUAUUACACAGAACACCGAUUGCGAAGGCAUCUCACAAAGCCGUUAUUAACGCUGAGGCACGAAAGUGUGGGGAUCAAACAGGA
This 254-nucleotide ribosomal RNA is filed under the name uncultured prokaryote. Its description in RNAcentral is "partial 16S ribosomal RNA". It matches the Rfam family "Bacterial small subunit ribosomal RNA", at positions 524 to 777 of the family's 1533-position model. The record is from RNAcentral.